UCCGAGUUGACCCCGGCAGUCUCCUAUGAGUCCCCGCCAUCACGCGCUGGCAACAUAGAACGAGGGUUGCGCUCGUUGCGGGACUUAACCCAACAUCUCACGACACGAGCUGACGACAACCAUGCACCACCUGUACAGGACCCUUACGGACCCCCCAUCUCUGGAGGAUUUCCCUGCAUGUCAAGCCCAGGUAAGGUUCUUCGCGUUGCAUCGAAUUAAGCCGCAUGCUCCGCCGCUUGUGCGGGCCCCCGUCAAUUCCUUUGAGUUUUAGCCUUGCGGCCGUACUCCCCAGGCGGGGUGCUUAAUGCGUUAGCUUCGGCACCAAGGAAUCGCUUCCCCAACACCUAGUCGACAUCGUUUAGGGCGUGGACUAC
RNAcentral lists this unclassified non-coding RNA (374 nucleotides) under uncultured Actinomycetes bacterium. Its description in RNAcentral is "uncultured actinobacterium contains 16S-23S intergenic spacer region". The record is from RNAcentral. Lineage: Bacteria; Bacillati; Actinomycetota; Actinomycetes.